This 25-nucleotide non-coding RNA is filed under the name Cricetulus griseus (Chinese hamster). Lineage: Eukaryota; Metazoa; Chordata; Mammalia; Rodentia; Cricetidae. The record is from RNAcentral.
UCUGUCUAUGUGUGUAGUGGUGGGG